RNAcentral lists this ribosomal RNA (278 nucleotides) under uncultured bacterium. Its description in RNAcentral is "partial 16S ribosomal RNA". It matches the Rfam family "Bacterial small subunit ribosomal RNA", at positions 335 to 606 of the family's 1533-position model. The record is from RNAcentral.
ACUCCUACGGGAGGCAGCAGUGGGAAUAUUGGACAAUGGGGAACCGUAGCAUCCAGCCAUGCCGCGUGUGUGAAGAAGGCCUUCGGGUUGUAAAGCACUUUAAGCGAGGAGGAAUGGUAUACGGUUAAUACCUAUCAGCUGUGACGUUACCCACAGAAGAAGCACCGGCUAACUCCGUGCCAGCAGCCGCGGUAAUACGGAGGGUGCAAGCGUUAAUCGGAAUUACUGGGCGUAAAGCGUGCGCAGGCGGUCUGUUAAGCGAGAUGUGAAAGCCCGGC